UGGGGAAUCUUCCGCAAUGGGCGCCAGCCUGACGGAGCCAGACCGCGUGGGGGAGGAAGGCCCUUGGGUUGUAAACCCCUUUUCUCAGGGAAGAAACCUGACGGUACCUGAGGAAAAAGCCUCGGCUAACUCCGUGCCAGCAGCCGCGGUAAUACGGAGGAGGCAAGCGUUAUCCGGAAUUACUGGGCGUAAAGCGUCCGUAGGGGGCUCGUCAAGUCUGCUGUCAAAGCUCGGAGCGAAACGCGGACCCGGCAGUGGAAACUGGGGAGCUAGAGGGCGGCAGGGGCAGAAGGAAUUCCCGGUGUAGCGGUGAAAUGCGUAGAUAUCGGGAAGAACACCAGAGGCGAAAGCGUUCUGCUGGGCCGCACCUGACCCUGAGGGACGAAAGCCAGGGGAGCGAAUG
RNAcentral lists this ribosomal RNA (403 nucleotides) under uncultured bacterium. RNAcentral's name for it is "bacterial SSU rRNA". It matches the Rfam family "Bacterial small subunit ribosomal RNA", at positions 355 to 774 of the family's 1533-position model. The record is from RNAcentral.